RNAcentral lists this microRNA precursor (140 nucleotides) under Plutella xylostella (diamondback moth). RNAcentral describes it as "microRNA pxy-mir-8508 precursor". Lineage: Eukaryota; Metazoa; Arthropoda; Insecta; Lepidoptera; Plutellidae. The record is from miRBase by way of RNAcentral.
AUUGAUAUUUGUUUAUUAAAUGAGACCUGGCAUAAAGAUAAAAAUACAAUUUAAAGAAUUUUUAUCUUUAAGCUAUUUUAUUAAAUUUUGUAUCGCUAUCAUAACUUUCACUGUUACUGUGUCCCAUUAUCAAACUAUCA